RNAcentral lists this ribosomal RNA (492 nucleotides) under uncultured bacterium. Its description in RNAcentral is "partial 16S ribosomal RNA". It matches the Rfam family "Bacterial small subunit ribosomal RNA", at positions 29 to 507 of the family's 1533-position model. The record is from RNAcentral.
AGUGAACGCUGGCGGUAGGCCUAACACAUGCAAGUCGAACGGCAGCACAGUAAGAGCUUGCUCUUACGGGUGGCGAGUGGCGGACGGGUGAGGAAUACAUCGGAAUCUACUUUUUCGUGGGGGAUAACGUAGGGAAACUUACGCUAAUACCGCAUACGGCCUACGGGUGAAAGCAGGGGAUCUUCGGACCUUGCGCGAUUGAAUGAGCCGAUGUCGGAUUAGCUAGUUGGCGGGGUAAAGGCCCACCAAGGCGACGAUCCGUAGCUGGUCUGAGAGGAUGAUCAGCCACACUGGAACUGAGACACGGUCCAGACUCCUACGGGAGGCAGCAGUGGGGAAUAUUGGACAAUGGGCGCAAGCCUGAUCCAGCCAUACCGCGUGGGUGAAGAAGGCCUUCGGGUUGUAAAGCCCUUUUGUUGGGAAAGAAAAGCAGCAGGUUAAUACCCCGCUGUUCUGACGGUACCCAAAGAAUAAGCACCGGGUAACUUCGUG